Molecule: ribosomal RNA, 253 nt
Filed under: uncultured bacterium
Lineage: Bacteria
Description: partial 16S ribosomal RNA
Rfam family: Bacterial small subunit ribosomal RNA
Source: RNAcentral
UACGUAGGUGGCAAGCGUUGUCCGGAUUUAUUGGGCGUAAAGAGCGUGUAGGCGGCUUGGUAGGUCCGCUGUGAAAACUCGAGGCUCAACCUCGAGAUGUCGGCGGAAACCACUUGGCUAGAGUCCGGAAGAGGAGAGUGGAAUUCCCGGUGUAGCGGUGAAAUGCGCAGAUAUCGGGAAGAACACCUAUGGCGAAGGCAGCUCUCUGGGACGGUACUGACGCUGAGACGCGAAAGCGUGGGGAGCGAACAGG